UAAACGCUGAAGGCAUCUAAGCGUGAAGCCCCCCUCAAGAUGAGAUAUCCCAUCGUAAGAGUAAGACCCCUUGAAGACGACGAGGUUGAUAGGGCAGGGGUGGAAGUGCCGUAAGGCAUGGAGCUGACUGCUACUAAUCGGUCGAGGGCUUGACCAAAA
Molecule: ribosomal RNA, 159 nt
Filed under: Firmicutes bacterium AF25-13AC
Lineage: Bacteria; Bacillati; Bacillota
Description: partial 23S ribosomal RNA
Rfam family: Bacterial large subunit ribosomal RNA
Source: RNAcentral